GUGGUAACUCUGUAUAACUAGAAAUCAGGAGCAAAGGGUUUGAAUCUUAGGACCACUAGUCUCCAGCUCUGCGAUUUUAAGCAGGGCAUAACAGUCCUACACUUUAAUUUUCAGUUGUCUACACUUGCUCUAAAUGUGGCCCCUUGAUUCCUGAUGUAACAUAGAAGGCCAAAAUAAUUUGGUAGGUUUACCUGGUUCACGAAAUCACUGGGCCCUAAAAGGCUAAGUGUCUUCCCAAGUUUUUCAAAGAAAGCCAGAUCUUCAAAGUUUCAGAGCACCCAUACCUUCCCAAGUCACCUGUAAGCUAUUUUUCUACACAUUCAAGAGACAUUCAUUGUCAAACUGUCCUCUCUCUCUCCCCUCCUUCACUGACCUUCUUUUACAGGGUUUUAUAUGCUUUCUGUCCCCAUGUCUUGUAAGCCCACCCACCCACUUCCAUGAGACUCUUCUUACCAAGGUCAUCAUUGACGUCUGUGUGGCUUGAUCCUUACUUUACUUAAUCUCUCAUCAGCAUUAAAUCAUACUGAGGAUUUCUCAUUGCAGUAUACCCUGCUAUGGACAGAAUUGUGCCCCUCUCCCAGUUCCUCUGUUGAAGGCUUAAUCCCCAGUGUGAUGGUAUUUGGAGAUGGAGACAUGGGGAGGUAAUUACGGGUAAGUGAGGUCAUAACAGUCAGGCCCUCUGUGGAGAUGAAAGGAAAAAGAGCAGUCUCUUUCCCCACCCUAUGAAAAUAUAUCAAAAAGGUUGUUGUCUGCAAGCAAGGAAGAACAGAUGCUGACUCACAGACAUUGCAAAACUUAUGGUCUCUGGAGGAGACAGUUGGGGGGGUGGGGGGAUGUGCCUGGGCUGUGGGACGGAAAUCCUGUGAAAUUGGAUUGUGAUGAUCAUUAUACAACUACAGAUGUGAUCAAUUCAUUUGAGUGAUAAAAAAGAGAGAGAGAGAGAGCCUAGAAACAAAUCUUUCUUGCAUUCUGGCCUUGGACCUGCUUCCAAACUGUGAGAAAAUAAAUUUAAAAUUGUUAAGCCACUAGGUCCAUAAUAUUUCGUGAUGGCUGCCUGAACUAAGACACAGUCUCUUCCCUCGUCUUCAGCCAGGCUUCUCAUUCUAGCCUGAUGUUCUCUUUCAACACUGGCUGUUCUUGCUUUGCUUCUUUAAGUCAUAAUUUUUCCUGAUUAUGAAGAGAUCAAAUAUCCUCAAGGCUGAGAGAGUCAGUUAUUCUUCUCACUGCCAGCUCUUCCAGAAAUAUCCAUGACUAUGGCUUUAAUUGGCAUUUUGUCAAUAGUUUCCUCUGUAUCUCCAAUUUACUAUUCUUCUUUGAUAUCCAGAUCCAUAUACCCAACCACCUACUUUGAUUUCUCCUCCGUUUGUCUUGACAGUAUCUCCAAAUUGACCUGUGUAACCCUGAACUUGUGAUCUUAGUGAAUGAUACAAACGAAAGUAUUCUGGAUAGAAAUCUAGUGGCUAUCUAGAAGAUUGCUCUACCUUUAACCACUUACCAUCAAAUCCACCACUAAAUCCUCUUAAAUUUUCCUUUCUAUAGAUGCUUCCAAUGUCUUACCUCUCGCAACUUCACUGCCCACCUCCUAGUCUCAUAAUUUCUCCUAGUUCAUGGUGUGAAUUGGUCACUCUGCAGCCAAACUCUAUCUCUCUUCUCUUCUCCACACUGCAUUCAGAGAGAUUCUUAAACAUGGAUACUGGAGGAGGUUUUUUUAUUUUCAGCUCUGAAAGCACUUCUUGGGGCUGGCCUAUGAGGUCUUCUACGGCCUGGCCCCUGCUUCUAUCUCCUGUCUUCUUGCGUUCUUCCUUGCAGUCUGAUUUCUAGACAUACUGGCUUUAUUUCUCUUCUUGGAACAUGACCUGUAUUAUUUCAUCAUGUGCCUUUAAGUAGUCCUGUCUUUUCCUAGGGCUUUCACUUCUUCCUUCACCAGAUGAACCCUGCUCUUUCCUGUCAGCUCACGGCUCAUUUUCUUAAAGGCUCUUCCUGACUACAAAUGUUUACUGCAGUUCACUCCACUUCUCACCAACCACCUUGUCUUUGUCGCUUAAUCCAGUUGCUGUUUUCUAUUUAUUAUGUCUUCAUGUGGGCCUUUGAUCCAUAUUUGAAUCCUCAAGUCGACUGUAAACUUCCUGAGGGUAAGGAAUAUGUUUGCAUUUUCGUUUGGUUUGGUUUAGUUUUUGGUCACUAUUUUAUGUUCCGAACCUAAGUCAGUGCCUAUUACAUCAUAAAUGCUCAAUAACUACUACUACUUGAGUUUCGCGUGAAAGAAACCCAAAGCACCAGUGGGGGUACAGUGGAUAGAUACUUUUCCAAAUGCCAAUCAGUUAAAAUUUUGAACUGUCUUACUCGUUACUCAUCCCAUAACCAAUAGGAACAUUUGAGUUUUCAAAUCCCAAGUUGUCUUGCUUAUAAUGUACAAGUAGGAAGUUGUCUUACUUAUAAUGUACAAGUAGGUUGUCUAAGUUUAUUUCAGAGAUAAUAAAAUAUCUAAUCAAAAAAGUUAUGGGUUGGAGUUGAAAGGUGGCUCAGUGAGUUAAGAAUCAAGCAUUGUCACUGCUCUGGUGUAGGUCUGAUCCCUGGCCAAGGAACUUCUGCAUGCCCUGGACAUUGCCAAAAAACAAAAACCAAAAAAAAAAACAAAAACAAAAAAAAGUGGGAAGAAGUAGGGAAAGUUUUUUAUUAAUUAGCUAAAACACCAUAGACAUGCAGUUAUCCAAAUAUCCAUGCACUUCUGCCUUUAGAUAAAUUGAGAUAAAAUGAGAUGGAAUAAGAUUAUUUGAGUUUUAGGUAAUUUUUAAGAUUACUCUUUGGGUUCAGUAUUAUUUCUGAUAUUAUUGCUCAGCAAAGGCCUGUUCCUAUUUAGCAGCAAGGGCACAAUCAUGUGAGAUACAUUUAUAAGUGACAUCAGAAUAUUCUUUGCAGUUCCUCUUGUGGCUCAGCGGGUUAAGGACCUGACAUUGUUUCUGUGAGGAUGUGGGUUGGAUCCCUGGCCUUAUUCAGUGGGUUAAGGAGCCAGGGUUGCUGUAAGCAGUAGCGUAGGUCACAGGUGCAGCUCGGAUCCCGCAUUGCUGUGGCUGUGGUGUAGGCUGGCAGCUGCAGCUCUGAUUCUGCCCCUAGCCUAGGAACCUCCAUAUGCUGCAGGUGUGGCCCUAAAAAGAAAAAAAUAUUUAAUUUCCUGGAUGAAAGAAUAGUUGGAGAAACAGAUGGGCAGCAGUGAUAACUUUGACUGAUAAGAAGGUUAGGGAUGGUACCUUUUGGUUAUCUAUGCAAAGGGCAAAUAAGACAUUUUAGCUCAUUGUUUUCAACCCCAUUCUAGAGCAUAUGCUAGGCAUUUUAUUAAUAUUUAUUCUGAUCCAAUGUUUACUUUAUGCAUUAGAUUUUAAAUCAAGUUUGAUAUUAUCUGUAAGAUAAUGCAAUGUCAUUAUCUG
Molecule: long non-coding RNA, 3425 nt
Filed under: Sus scrofa (pig)
Lineage: Eukaryota; Metazoa; Chordata; Mammalia; Artiodactyla; Suidae
Description: lncRNA (ENSSSCG00015056279.1)
Source: RNAcentral